Molecule: long non-coding RNA, 746 nt
Organism: Coccinella septempunctata (seven-spotted ladybird)
Lineage: Eukaryota; Metazoa; Arthropoda; Insecta; Coleoptera; Coccinellidae
Exons: 3
Source: RefSeq, a predicted model, not a curated record
AAUCUGUAUGAGGAUUAUCAAUUUCGAAGAACCCCGUACAGAUGUCAUCUAAUGUUUCAAUUUAUUGAAUUGAAUAAAUGCACUAUUGUUGUAUGUGCAACACAUGGAAAAAAACGUACUUUCUUUGGAAGAAAAAGCGAUUAGCAUUCACGCGUCCGAAAGAUCUUACGAUAUUUAUCUCGCUGUAAUUUUCAAAUUAGAAUUACUUCCGCUAAUUUAUAUAAGCUAAAGACACAAUAGUGAGAGUGAUUUAAAUUCGAACAGUUGUUCCAUGAACCAAUUGGCACAGAGACACUUCUGUAGUGUCCCCAGAUCUAGGUACAAAUGAGCCUUUCAUAAAUUCUGGAUCAAUUCGUCUCUUUCUGGCCAGCAAAGACACCGAGUUGUUGAAGGAAGGAAGGAAGGAUUUCAUUUCCGAGGAUCCACGAAAGGGGAUCAAUUGUGUGAAUAAAUUUUAUCGAAUUGGAAAAAAAGCAGCCCUGUCAGUUCGUUCGAUUAUCCAGAGUAACUGACUUUUCCUGAUGGUGUAUAAGAUCAGAAAUAUGGACAGAUAACACUUGUUGUUGGCAACUUAUAUUUUUCCUUAAGGUGCAGAGGAAUCCUAAUGAUGUUAUUAGUGAUAAACAUCGCUUUGAUAUUUUUUAAAAGUAUGCAUGUAGGCAUUUCAUAAUUCUCCAUUUAACUUAUACAAUGUUAAUAAGAAAAGGACAGAAUUUCCUGUGUGAGUACAUUAAAGAUGUCACAUG